This 747-nucleotide ribosomal RNA is filed under the name Triticum aestivum (bread wheat). Its description in RNAcentral is "partial small subunit ribosomal RNA". The record is from RNAcentral. Lineage: Eukaryota; Viridiplantae; Streptophyta; Magnoliopsida; Poales; Poaceae.
AUGGAAGAAGAAAUUGAUGACACUGUGAGCUCAUUGGAUGAAAAAGAUGAUGAGGAGAGCGAAGAACAAAAGGAGGAAGAGCGGAUUGAUCACCCGUGCCCACCUUCUAAUGAGAGUAACUCUUCAACUCAUACAUUGUUUAAUUCCCCUUUGUGCUUACCGAAGGAUGAUUGCUAUGAUGACUGUUAUGAUCCCUAUGAUUCUUUUGAAAUAUCCCUUUUUGAUGAUGCUUGUUAUGCUUAUGGCCAAGAUGACAAUAUGAAUUAUGCUUAUGGAGAUGAAUUUGCUAUAGUUCCUUAUGUUAAACAUGAAAUUGUUGCUAUCGCACCCACGCAUGAUAGUCCUAUUAUCUUUUUCAAUUCCCCCGAUUAUACUAUAUCGGAGAAGUUUGCACUUAUUAAGGAUUAUAUUGAUGGGUUGCCUUUUACCGUUGCACAUGAUGAUUUCAAUAAAUAUAAUAUGCAUGUGCUUGCUGCUACUACUUGCAAUUAUUAUGAGAGAGGAACUAUAUCUCCACCUCUCUAUGUUUCCAACAUGAUAAAAUUGCAAGAAACUGUUUAUACUAUGCAUUGGCCUUUACUAGGUGUGCAUGAAUUGUUCUUUUAUGACAUGCCGAUGCAUAGGAAGAGAGUUAGACUUCGGCAUUGCUUGAUAUAUGUUGCUUUGUGCUCACUACUAAAUUACAAAUCUUUGUUAAUUAAAAUUGGCUUUGAUAUACCUUGGGAUCCUGGUGGAUUCACUACUUGA